This 2781-nucleotide ribosomal RNA is filed under the name human gut metagenome. Its description in RNAcentral is "bacterial LSU rRNA". It matches the Rfam family "Bacterial large subunit ribosomal RNA". The record is from RNAcentral.
AGAGCGCAAGGGGAAUGCCUUGGCAUCAGGAGCCGAAGAAGGACGUGACAAGCUGCGAUAAGCUUCGGGGAGGAGCAAAUAUCCGUUGAUCCGGAGAUUUCCGAAUGGGGAAACCCACCAGAGCAAUACUCUGGUAUCGUGCGUUGAAUAAAAUAGGCGUACGAGGGGAACGCCCUGAACUGAAACAUCUAAGUAGGGGCAGGAAAAGACAUCAACCGAGAUUCCGCAAGUAGUGGCGAGCGAACGCGGAGGAGGCCAAACCGGUGGAUUUAUUCACCGGGGUUAGGACUGGCAUCACGAUCAGAGGUAUCUAGAAGAACGGCAUGGGAAGGCCGGCCAUAGAGGGUGAGAGCCCCGUAUUUGAAAGAGAAGACUGACAGCCAGUAUCCAGAGUACCGCGGGACACGUGAAACCCCGUGGGAAGAUGGGUGGACCACCAUCCAAGCCUAAAUACUACCUGAUGACCGAUAGAGGAGCAGUACCGUGAGGGAAAGGUGAAAAGGACCCCGGGAGGGGAGUGAAAGAGAACCUGAAACCUUGUGCUUACAAGCACUCAAAGCACGUUAAUGUGUGAUGAGGUACUUUUUGUAGAACGGUCCGGCGAGUUAUAGUAACGAGCAAGCUUAAGGUAUUCAGUACCGGAGGCGAAGCGAGAGCGAGUCUGAAUAGGGCGUAAAAAGUUCGUUGCCAUAGACCCGAAACCGGGUGACCUAACCAUGAGCAGGCUGAAGUGAGAGUAAAAUCUCAUGGAGGGCCGAACGCACGUUCGUUGCAAUGACCGGCGAUGACUUGUGGUUAGCGGAGAAAUUCCAAUCGAACUCGGAGAUAGCUGGUUCUCCCCGAAAUAGCUUUAGGGCUAGCGUUGAUUUAGAUUACCGGAGGUAAAGCACUGAAUGGGCUAGGGGGCGAUAAGCUUACUGAACCCUAUCAAACUCUGAAUGCCGGCUAAUUGAUGAUCAGCAGUCAGACAGUGUGAGAUAAGUUUCAUUGUCAAAAGGGAAACAGCCCAGACCUACAGCUAAGGUCCCAAAUGUAUGCUAAGUGGAAAACGAUGUGGAGUUGCGAAAACAACCAGGAUGUUGGCUUAGAAGCAGCCACUCAUUAAAAGAGUGCGUAAUAGCUCACUGGUCGAGUGACUCUGCGCGGAAAAUAUAACGGGGCUAAGUAUGCAACCGAAGCUUAGGAUGUCCGCAAGGGCGUGGUAGGGGAGCGUCGUGUACGGGGUGAAGUCGCAGCGGAAGCAGCGGUGGACUGUACAGGAGUGAGAAUGCCGGAAUGAGUAGCGAGAAUUAUGUGGGAAUCAUAAUGGCCGAAAAUCUAAGGUUUCUUGGGGAAGGUUCGUCCGCCCAAGGUAAGCCGGGAGCUAAGGCGAGGCCGCGAGGCGUAGUCGAUGCACAUACGGUAGAAAUUCCGUAGCCACCGAACUUUAAACCAGAAGGACACUUUCAGAUAGCGGGACCCAGCCGUUGGUAGAGCUGGGCGCAAGGGACCGAAAUAUAGUAGGGAAGUCCGCGAUGCUGGGAGGCGAGAAAAGCUCUGGUGUACACUAAGGUGCCCGUACCGCAAACCGACACAGGUAGAUGAGGAGAGAAUCCUAAGGCCAACGGGAGAAGGGUUGUUAAGGAACUCGGCAAAUUGACCCCGUAACUUCGGAAGAAGGGGAGCCUCGAAAGAGGCCGCAGUGAAUAGGCCCAAGCAACUGUUUACCAAAAACACAGGUCUAUGCUAAAUCGAAAGAUGACGUAUAUGGGCUGACGCCUGCCCGGUGCCGGAAGGUUAAGAGGAGAGCUUAGCGCAAGCGAAGGUUUGAAUUGAAGCCCCGGUAAACGGCGGCCGUAACUAUAACGGUCCUAAGGUAGCGAAAUUCCUUGUCAGGUAAGUUCUGACCCGCACGAAUGGCGUAACGAUUUGGGCGCUGUCUCGGCGAGAGGCUCGGCGAAAUUGGAUUAUCCGUGAAGAUACGGAUUACGUGUACCAGGACAGAAAGACCCUAUUGAGCUUUACUGUAGCUUGAAAUUGAAUUCGGGUUCUCAUUGCGCAGUAUAGGUGGGAGACUAAGAAGCUUGAACUUUGGUUUAAGUGGAGUCAUCGUUGAGAUACCACUCUGUAAUAAUUUGAAUUCUAACACUGAUCCCUCUAAUAACAGGGCAGUGGACAGUUUCUGGUAGGCAGUUUGACUGGGGCGGUCGCCUCCUAAAAAGUAACGGAGGCGUUCAAAGGUUCCCUCAGGUUGGUCGGAAAUCAACCGUUGAGUGCAAUAGCAAAAGGGAGCUUGACUGUGAGACCUACAAGUCGAGCAGGUACGAAAGUAGGAUAUAGUGAUCCGGUGGUUCUGCAUGGAAGGGCCAUCGCUCAUCGGAUAAAAGUUACCAUAGGGAUAACAGGCUUAUCUCCCCCAAGAGUCCACAUCGACGGGGAGGUUUGGCACCUCGAUGUCGGCUCGUCGCAUCCUGGGGCUGAAGCAGGUCCCAAGGGUUUGGCUGUUCGCCAAUUAAAGCGGCACGCGAGCUGGGUUCAGAACGUCGUGAGACAGUUCGGUCCCUAUCCAUCGUGGGCGUAGGAGUCAUGAGAGGAGCUGUUCCUAGUACGAGAGGACCGGAAUGGACGCACCACUGGUGCAACUGUUGUCGUGCCAACGGCAUAGCAGGGAAGCGAAGUGCGGAUGGGAUAAACGCUGAAGGCAUCUAAGCGUGAAGCCCACCUCAAGAAUAAGACUCCACAAUAGACCCCUGGAGGACUACCAGGUAGAUAGGUCAUCGGUGGAAGCGCUGUAAGGCGUGU